RNAcentral lists this ribosomal RNA (465 nucleotides) under Vreelandella stevensii. Its description in RNAcentral is "partial 16S ribosomal RNA". It matches the Rfam family "Bacterial small subunit ribosomal RNA", at positions 338 to 795 of the family's 1533-position model. The record is from RNAcentral. Lineage: Bacteria; Pseudomonadati; Pseudomonadota; Gammaproteobacteria; Oceanospirillales; Halomonadaceae.
CCUACGGGGGGCUGCAGUGGGGAAUAUUGGACAAUGGGGGCAACCCUGAUCCAGCCAUGCCGCGUGUGUGAAGAAGGCCCUCGGGUUGUAAAGCACUUUCAGUGAGGAAGAACGCCUGGUGGUUAAUACCCAUCAGGAAAGACAUCACUCACAGAAGAAGCACCGGCUAACUCCGUGCCAGCAGCCGCGGUAAUACGGAGGGUGCGAGCGUUAAUCGGAAUUACUGGGCGUAAAGCGCGCGUAGGUGGCUUGAUAAGCCGGUUGUGAAAGCCCCGGGCUCAACCUGGGAACGGCAUCCGGAACUGUCAAGCUUGAGUGCAGGAGAGGAAGGUAGAAUUCCCGGUGUAGCGGUGAAAUGCGUAGAGAUCGGGAGGAAUACCAGUGGCGAAGGCGGCCUUCUGGACUGACACUGACACUGAGGUGCGAAAGCGUGGGUAGCAAACAGGAUUAGAUACCCUUGUAGUC